GGACUGCUGUGUACCAAAGGACCGAGGUCCCCCAUUGCACAGCCCCCUUCAGAUACUAUCCCACAGACCUUCUCUUGGGACUGGGAGGUGAGGCAGUGCCUGCCGUUUUAAGCCUUGAGGUCCUUUCCAAAAAUACAUGCAAGUGUUCUCCUAAAUGCUGUGAAACUGGCCCGAGCCUGUGAGGAUUUGGGAUUGUGCACAAACCAGCCUGUCUGUCUUGAUGGAGCCAAGGAGAUCUGUACACAUUCUGCGUGCAGGGUUUCAGGUGCGAGAAUCUCGUCUUCAGUCUGCAGACCGACUCCAUGCAAAAAGAAUAUGGCUUAUUAGAUGGUGGUAUCCAUUCAGUGAUAUGUCAUGAAGUAGCAAAUGCCAAAGUGUCUGUAUACCUGUAUAUGGACAGAAGCAGUUCUUCUGCAAUAGCCAUCAGCUGAAAGGAGGAACCAGCUCAGUCCCAGGAAAUACAGACAAAAAUGCACACAAGUCUCUGGCAGCAAUACCUGAGAAAGCUUUAUAGUGAAAAAGCAUUUGUGUUUCUUCCUGAAAACAAAA
Long non-coding RNA from Neopsephotus bourkii (Bourke's parrot), 549 nucleotides. RefSeq lists it as uncharacterized. The record is from RefSeq and is a predicted model, not a curated record. Lineage: Eukaryota; Metazoa; Chordata; Aves; Psittaciformes; Psittacidae. The transcript has 3 exons.